This 445-nucleotide ribosomal RNA is filed under the name Burkholderia sp. SN18. RNAcentral's name for it is "bacterial SSU rRNA". It matches the Rfam family "Bacterial small subunit ribosomal RNA", at positions 207 to 640 of the family's 1533-position model. Lineage: Bacteria; Pseudomonadati; Pseudomonadota; Betaproteobacteria; Burkholderiales; Burkholderiaceae. The record is from RNAcentral.
CUUCGGGACCUCGCGCUACAGGGGCGGCCGAUGGCAGAUUAGCUAGUUGGUGGGGUAAAGGCCUACCAAGGCGACGAUCUGUAGCUGGUCUGAGAGGACGACCAGCCACACUGGGACUGAGACACGGCCCAGACUCCUACGGGAGGCAGCAGUGGGGAAUUUUGGACAAUGGGCGCAAGCCUGAUCCAGCAAUGCCGCGUGUGUGAAGAAGGCCUUCGGGUUGUAAAGCACUUUUGUCCGGAAAGAAAACCUCAGCCCUAAUACGGCGGGGGGAUGACGGUACCGGAAGAAUAAGCACCGGCUAACUACGUGCCAGCAGCCGCGGUAAUACGUAGGGUGCAAGCGUUAAUCGGAAUUACUGGGCGUAAAGCGUGCGCAGGCGGUCCGCUAAGACAGAUGUGAAAUCCCCGGGCUUAACCUGGGAACUGCAUUUGUGACUGGCGGG